RNAcentral lists this transfer RNA (71 nucleotides) under Marmota monax (woodchuck). Its description in RNAcentral is "tRNA.Ala". Lineage: Eukaryota; Metazoa; Chordata; Mammalia; Rodentia; Sciuridae. The record is from RNAcentral.
GAGGUUGUGGCUCAGUGAUAGAGCACUUGCCUAGCACGAGUGAGGCACUGAGUUUGAUCCUCAGCACCACA